AAGAUCAUACUUUCAGGGAUCAUUUCUAUAGUUUUUGACUUGAGAAAUAUCGUACGAAAGUGAUCGGUUACUCUAACCACGAUGAAGAGUAUUGAUGUUCCCUUCUGAGCGCGAAGCGGGUAGCGAGUAAUGAUUGAUUUCAUCCGCUCGUUGUCAUUGAUGACCGUUCCUUGCUCCCUCGUGGAGCCUGGAGGUAGGGAACAUGAUCAGAGUGGU
RNAcentral lists this small nucleolar RNA (216 nucleotides) under Gadus morhua (Atlantic cod). RNAcentral describes it as "Small nucleolar RNA U3 (ENSGMOG00000030176.1)". It matches the Rfam family "Small nucleolar RNA U3". Rfam says of the family: Small nucleolar RNAs (snoRNAs) are involved in the processing and modification of rRNA in the nucleolus. There are two main classes of snoRNAs: the box C/D class, and the box H/ACA class. The record is from Rfam by way of RNAcentral. Lineage: Eukaryota; Metazoa; Chordata; Actinopteri; Gadiformes; Gadidae.